UCGAAACAUAAUAUUUUAAAGAUUAUUUUGUGAUAAACCUCACGACAAUAGUGAUAAGUUGCCCUUUUUAUCUAACACACGUUUUUGUCACUUGCCAUGCAUAUUGGGUUUUAAUGUAACUAAAACAUGGAAAUAUUCUUUUUGUUUUUUUUUUUGUUUUUUUGUUUUUGUUUUUUUUAUCGAUUCAAUAGAAAUGAAAAGUCUUCAACCAAAAGUUAUCUUGGGCUUAAGUGCGUAAGAGAGUUCACGAGGGAGGCAGUAGAGGAGGGCUCUUAGAACUAUAUAUCGAAAUAAGAAGCCGGAGGUUGAAAUUCAACGGAUUGACUGUGUGACAGGGAAUCGAAAUUAGCAGGUUCUGAUUUGAAGAAGAAGAAGAUGGAUAACAUGUCGGCUGUUUGGUAGGGAUGUGCGAUCAAUCCACCUCACUUAUAAUUUUGAUAUGAACCAGUUCUCGCAUUGAGACGCUUUAUUUGGUCUCGAUCAGGUUAUUUCGAUUUUGGAGCUAGCGACAUGUAGACAGGUGGGGUGGUACAUCAAUUUUGAUAUAUAUAGCAUAAUGAGACGUGUACUAGUUUGGAUCAAGAAGGACUGAAAGGUGACUGAUUAGAGUCGUGACCAUACUAAAAGUCUAAAACGUAUCAUAGGUUUUCAAUUAAUGAAUCAUUUAAUUUAGUUUACUUUUUUGAAAGGCUGAUGCUAACCAAGCAACAAUACAAUUAUAUGAUGUGAACUGAGAUAAUGGUGGUUGAACAAUAAAGGAGGCCAACCAUUGAAAAACAGAAACUCCUAAAAUGUUGCUGUGUUUUAGUCUCUGUGAUAGACUUUGGGAUGGAUUUAGACUUUAGAGGAAGUGGUUAUUUCCGGUUCUCUUUUUCUAGCAUACAUGCAUUCAAACCCUCAUACGUUUAAGAUAUUACCAGUUUUUUGCGAUUUAUCCUCGCAUGAUGAUGUAUGUUGGAACAUGUUUGAAAUGAGUCAUUCAGAUCGUUUGAUUUA
Long non-coding RNA from Lactuca sativa (garden lettuce), 996 nucleotides. RefSeq lists it as uncharacterized. Lineage: Eukaryota; Viridiplantae; Streptophyta; Magnoliopsida; Asterales; Asteraceae. The record is from RefSeq and is a predicted model, not a curated record.